GAACGGUAGCACAGAGGAGCUUGCUCCUUGGGUGACGAGUGGCGGACGGGUGAGUAAUGUCUGGGAAACUGCCCGAUGGAGGGGGAUAACUACUGGAAACGGUAGCUAAUACCGCAUAACGUCUUCGGACCAAAGUGGGGGACCUUCGGGCCUCACACCAUCGGAUGUGCCCAGAUGGGAUUAGCUAGUAGGUGGGGUAAUGGCUCACCUAGGCGACGCUCCCUAGCUGGUCUGAGAGGAUGACCAGCCACACUGGAACUGAGACACGGUCCAGACUCCUACGGGAGGCAGCAGUGGGGAAUAUUGCACAAUGGGCGCAAGCCUGAUGCAGCCAUGCCGCGUGUAUGAAGAAGGCCUUCGGGUUGUAAAGUACUUUCAGCGGGGAGGAAGGCGAUGAGGUUAAUAACCUUAUCGAUUGACGUUACCCGCAGAAGAAGCACCGGCUAACUCCGUG
RNAcentral lists this ribosomal RNA (454 nucleotides) under uncultured bacterium. RNAcentral's name for it is "bacterial SSU rRNA". It matches the Rfam family "Bacterial small subunit ribosomal RNA", at positions 64 to 507 of the family's 1533-position model. The record is from RNAcentral.